Molecule: long non-coding RNA, 1150 nt
Filed under: Drosophila guanche
Lineage: Eukaryota; Metazoa; Arthropoda; Insecta; Diptera; Drosophilidae
Source: RNAcentral
CUUGGGUUAAUAUGCUUAAUUUUUAAAAUAUCCAAUAGCGCAUCCUUCACUUUCUCGCGGGCCUCCGUCCCGAGCUCUGAUAUCCCGCAGUCAUAAUGCUCGUUCUUGCGUUUCCCGAGCAGUUGGGACACUUCGGCGUGUACGUUUCGGGCUUUCCGCAGAGGUAGCAGAAUACCCUGCGUUCCUUUGACAUACACUCUCGGAACCCGUGGUCAACUUCUAUGCAAUUCCAGCACCCCAGCCUCGGCUUCGCUGUCAGGUGUGUUUCCUCAACCAUCACCUCUUCCUCUCCUUUCGACAGCUCCGACUCUGGCUCGAUCUCCUCCACUCGCUUACCGGAUUGUUGGAACUUCAGCGUCGGGCGAAAAGCUGACCUUCGCUCGCGUCUGCGGAAAUGGUACUCACCUCCACACACUCUUCCAUAAGCUGCUCCGGGUUCCGGACUCGGAUCGCGUACACAUAACGAGCGAUCUCUUGCUCGAGCCCCUUCUUGACGACUCUGACCAUUUCGGAAUCCGCUAUUGGUGUGAUAAGUCUUGCUGCCAGCCUCCGUAUCGCUCGAAAGUAGUCUUCCACCGAUUCUCCAGGUUCUUGCCGUCGCUCAUGCAACGCACGCAGUCGCUCGUAUUCCCCACCUACUGCAUGGAAUCGGUACACCAACUCGUCCCUUAAGUCCUCCCAGACUUCUGGAGGCCUCUAUCCUCUAACCAGCUGGUGAAAAUUAUGCAGGACUUCGUCCCACGAGCGUCGACUCUGCUUCUGGAGGAAUUCGACCCGAAAGACGAAAUCCUCCACCGUCAGUUUGGCUGGGUCGCCGUCGAAAUGGAUGUCCCACUUGUCGACGCGUCCCCAUCUCGGCUCCCUCCACUCGUCUCGCCUCUCGUAGGGCGUCGUGAAUCGCCGAGCUCCGCCGUCUCCUGCUGGUUCCCUUUCCAGUCCUCUCGGACUCGUCUCCAGGUCGCCAUCUUCCACCAUGCGGGACCAAUUUUGGCUGCUUCUCUCCGGCUUCCUUGGAGGGGCUUGGGGAAUCUGAUCCUGUUGUUCCACGGACCCUUUUGGCCUGGUGCCGGUAUUCUGGAGCCGUCGAACCGCCUUCUCGGCCAUUUGGACCAUCCUCCCAGCCCAGAUCUUGGAUCACUUCUCCCUUCUG